GGUAGUCCACGCCGUAAACGAUGAGUGCUAAGUGUUAGAGGGUUUCCGCCCUUUAGUGCUGAAGUUAACGCAUUAAGCACUCCGCCUGGGGAGUACGGCCGCAAGGCUGAAACUCAAAGGAAUUGACGGGGGCCCGCACAAGCGGUGGAGCAUGUGGUUUAAUUCGAAGCAACGCGAAGAACCUUACCAGGUCUUGACAUCCUCUGACAACCCUAGAGAUAGGGCUUCUCCUUCGGGAGCAGAGUGACAGGUGGUGCAUGGUUGUCGUCAGCUCGUGUCGUGAGAUGUUGGGUUAAGUCCCGCAACGAGCGCAACCCUUGAUCUUAGUUGCCAUCAUUAAGUUGGGCACUCUAAGGUGACUGCCGGUGACAAACCGGAGGAAGGUGGGGAUGACGUCAAAUCAUCAUGCCCCUUAUGACCUGGGCUACACACGUGCUACAAUGGACGGUACAAAGAGCUGCAAGACCGCGAGGUGGAGCUAAUCUCAUAAAACCGUUCUCAGUUCGGAUUGUAGGCUGCAACUCGCCUACAUGAAGCUGGAAUCGCUAGUAAUCGCGGAUCAGCAUGCCGCGGUGAAUACGUUCCUGGGCCUUGUACACACCGCCCGUCACACCACGAGAGUUUGUAACACCCGAAGUCGGUGGGGUAACCUUUUUGGAGCCAGCCGCCUAAGGUGGGACAGAUGAUUGGGGUGAAGUCGUAACAAGGUAACC
This 713-nucleotide ribosomal RNA is filed under the name uncultured bacterium. Its description in RNAcentral is "bacterial SSU rRNA". It matches the Rfam family "Bacterial small subunit ribosomal RNA", at positions 789 to 1501 of the family's 1533-position model. The record is from RNAcentral.